RNAcentral lists this ribosomal RNA (253 nucleotides) under uncultured bacterium. Its description in RNAcentral is "partial 16S ribosomal RNA". It matches the Rfam family "Bacterial small subunit ribosomal RNA", at positions 524 to 776 of the family's 1533-position model. The record is from RNAcentral.
GACGAACCGUGCGAACGUUGUUCGGAAUCACUGGGCUUAAAGGGCGCGUAGGCGGGCUGUCGCGUCUGGGGUGAAAUCCUCCGGCUCAACCGGGGAAGGGCCUCGGGUACGGACGGCCUCGAGGGGGGUAGGGGCGUGCGGAACUGUGGGUGGAGCGGUGAAAUGCGUUGAUAUCCACAGGAACUCCGGUGGCGAAGGCGGCACGCUGGACCCUCUCUGACGCUGAGGAGCGAAAGCGUGGGGAGCAAACAGG